RNAcentral lists this long non-coding RNA (1822 nucleotides) under Anas platyrhynchos platyrhynchos (common mallard). Its description in RNAcentral is "lncRNA (ENSAPLG00000023583.1)". Lineage: Eukaryota; Metazoa; Chordata; Aves; Anseriformes; Anatidae. The record is from RNAcentral.
CCUGCGGAUGGCACCGGGGCCACCCAGCCCGUCCUGUGCCCCCGCCGCGGGGCUCGCGCUGCCCUGGCUGCCAGCCUGAGCGCUGACACCAGCUCUGAAGUCACCAUCCGGAGCAGGAAGCUGGGGAUUAGCGGGAACAUUGCUUGUCAAGGGGAUAAUCACGGGCACAUGGCACAGAUCGGAUAGCCCUCCCGCCAGCCAGAGCUACUAAUGAGGUGUUUCCCCUGCUGCUGGUGAAGGGCUGGUAAUGAAGUUCCUGUCCUAUUCCCUUUCCCGGAGCUGGGUAUGACGGCUGUCAGACAGGAACCUUCUGUCGGAAAUACUCUGCUCCUUGUCCUUGUGGUUGCCCUUCUUCGUGCUGGGCACAGGAGCUGUGUUGAGUCCCUGAGACCCAAGGGGCUUCUCGAGGCUCAUCCACACCGACCUGCCCCAGCCUCCCCCAUACACACCACAUGGCCCAGAUUCACUGCUCGGCUGCCUCUUUUCUUAAAGGGUUGGGCUAUUUAAUUUUAAUUGGUAUUUACAUAACGAGUAACCAAGCAAUGAGCUUGUUUUUCACAUAGGAAUAAGGCCGAUGCUAAACAGCCACUAUGUACUUUGGGGUUUUGCUCAAUAAAUACGUCAGCAUAAGGCAGGACAUGGUUUCUCUUCCACAUCAAAAGCAAGAACUUAUGACAAUUCCCACUGCAAAUGUCAUGACCUUGCAUAAAAAAGGAAGACUGAUGGCUAUAGUAGAACUGAGGCAUAACAAAGAGAAGAGACAAGACUGGGCUUAUCCUAAACCACUUCUGAACUGUCGUUUUCUUCUUCCAGCAAGGUGCUUAGGGAAACAUUGGGACCAUAGGUGGUGUAGCCACAGAAUAAAACAAAUUUUUUUGUCCUUACUUUGUGAAGUUUGCUCCAAAAGACCUGGCACAGACAUUAGUGGAUGUCCUCUUCAGAUGUAUGGAGAAAUAAGGAUGAAUUAGUUUUGCCUCACUGCAUGGAAACAUUAAGUUAAAGGCCCAUUUACUGAAAAGGUCUAUGUGAUGUAGGAACCAAAUGCCAAGCACUGCAGCUUUUCCUUCUCCUCCAUACUGAUGUUUCAGCUCCAGAGCAUGCACACAGCAGUCACAGAGGCUGUGCCACCUGCAGCAGCACGUUGGUGCUGGAAUCCCAAAGCCACCUCUGAACCAUCCCUGAAAGCUGAGGGAAAGCUUGCUCUGACCAGCAGCCACACGGGCUGUUUUGGUUUUGAUUUGCAGCAGAUUUGAUAAGAAAGCUCUCAGGAAAAACAAAUUUCCUCUUGGACUCAGUCGAAUUGGGCACAUAUUCCGGCACACCGAGUUCCCUUUCCUAAAAGCUCAUGAAGUAGGCUUCUAAAAUUAGGAAUAAGAGGUGAAGUCCUGGCCCUUUUUCAAGCAGGGACCAUUAUCCCCAGGACCAGCUCUCACUUGAGGGUCACUGUAGACCCUCAUCGAUGGAGAGCAGUGACAAGAAGAAAAAAAAAAAAGUCUUGAUAACAAUCUUUUAUCUCUAACUGUUAUUCCAGUGGUCUCUUCUGUUUCUCCUGCUGCCCUCACACUGUCUCAUUCCGUAGCCUGUAUCCACCACCAGUGCUGCUGUACAAACAGUUCGGUGUUUGGCCCAGAGACGAUGAAUCGCUGGUGCUCAGCUGCUCCAGCAGUGUCACGUUCCAAAUUAAGCACCUCCGUUUUCACUGGGGUCAUUGCUCAUAUGCAGCAGUUUCUUUUUUAUUUAGUCUAGUCCAAAAAAAGGGCAAUUACUAUCUCCCUGCAAAUGCCAGGGCUGCAGGGGUUGGCAGCUGUGACAUCCAGAUGCC